This 637-nucleotide ribosomal RNA is filed under the name uncultured bacterium. RNAcentral describes it as "bacterial SSU rRNA". It matches the Rfam family "Bacterial small subunit ribosomal RNA", at positions 8 to 634 of the family's 1533-position model. The record is from RNAcentral.
AGAGUUUGAUCCUGGCUCAGGAUGAACGCUAGCUACAGGCUUAACACAUGCAAGUCGCGGGGCAGCAUGUCGGUUGCUUGCAACCGAUGAUGGCGACCGGCGCACGGGUGAGUAACGCGUAUCCAACCUGCCCUUCACCACGGAAUAAUCCAGUGAAAAUUGGUCUAAUACCGUAUGAGGUCAUACGAUGGCAUCAGAAUAUGACGAAAGGUUUGGCGGUGAAGGAUGGGGAUGCGUCUGAUUAGCUUGUUGGUGAGGUAACGGCUCACCAAGGCGACGAUCAGUAGGGGUUCUGAGAGGAAGGUCCCCCACAUUGGAACUGAGACACGGUCCAAACUCCUACGGGAGGCAGCAGUGAGGAAUAUUGGUCAAUGGGCGAGAGCCUGAACCAGCCAAGUAGCGUGCAGGGCGACGGCCCUAUGGGUUGUAAACUGCUUUUAUAUGGGGAUAAAGUGAGUUACGUGUAGCUUAUUGCAGGUACCAUAUGAAUAAGGACCGGCUAAUUCCGUGCCAGCAGCCGCGGUAAUACGGAAGGUCCAGGCGUUAUCCGGAUUUAUUGGGUUUAAAGGGAGCGUAGGCCGCCCCUUAAGCGUGUUGUGAAAUGCCGCGGCUCAACCGUGGCACUGCAGCGCGAACU